GUUCGGUCUUCCACCGAUAUCUUCCUCUGCUCUUCUGGUAAAAUAUGGAACUGGAAGAUUGUGAAAUCUCUGCUGUGGUUGCUGAGGCGCUUUUCUGUCAUGUAGAGCUUGUUUUUGCCCGCACACUUUGGAAUAAUCCUAAGUUUCUUCUCUAAUUGUAUUUAUUGCACACUUCCUAUUUUGAUGUGCUGUCCCAUGCUGCAAAUGUGACUGCAGCCGUGCUCCAAACCAGUGGCCAAUUCCUGGAGCUGCUGAUGGGUGUGGAGUGGAAUCCUCUGUCAGUCCUUUGCCAGGCUCCUCCAGCCCCUGGUGGCAUCAUAGCAAGUCGUACAGAAGUUAAUAGCACAAGCAUCUUCUGUGUUUUGGUAGCAGUGAGCCUGUUAAUAGUGGUGGGUCAACAGUUUUUAGGCUUUUAGGAUUAGCUCCAGGCUUAGAAGAGGAUCACAAGUGUCUGAGCUGCAGUCCACAGAUGUAGACAGAGAGGCUACCAUAUGAUACAUGAUCUAAUUUCUCAAGGAUUUUUUAUGGUAUUUUCUUGGGUAUGAAGGUUACAGACUUAAUCCUCAAUCCAUACCCAACUUAUGCAAUCCCUUGUUUAGGCCAAAAUGAAGACUUUUGCUUUAUCAGGUAAAUGAAUGCCUUUGGGUGACAUGACCCAGCCCCCUAAACUUCAUGUUAUUUUAUGGAUUGCCUCCUUGAUGCAUGAUGAGAUGUUGGUGGCACCUCCUGUCCCAGAAGAGCUGCUGAGAUUUGGGGACCAGAGGAGCUCCAGAUGGGAGCAGGAGGCUGCAGUUCAGGAAAUCCUGAAGUCCUGGUAAUUGCUGUGGAACAGAUCCUGGCUUGGACAGAGUGUAGAUUCUUCUGUGGUGUAAAUCUCUUCUGAUUUAUUUGACACUUUGGUUUCAAAACUCCCCUUUUUGGUGUCAGAUGCUUGCUAAAGGCUUUUGCUUCUACAGAUGUGACUCAUUGCAUGCAGAAAGAAAACUGCACUGUGCUCCCUCCUUUCUCAAGGUGGCUCUCUGCCUUGCUGUCUUGCACAGCUCCUUCCAGAAGACCAGUUUUCUGCCUUUGGACCAGCUCUGUGUGCCUCCUUCCCCAGGCCUGGAUCUCAUGGUGGUGCUCAUGCUACAGAAGAUGCUGUGCAGGGAUGAUGAUGGCAACAGGAGCCUGAGAUGUGAAAGCUGCUGAAGCUCCAUGGGCAACAAGUCAGUCCUGUGCUGUCAGCUGGUGUCACCAUGAGGAUGUGAUGGGAGAAGGGUUGGACCUGCAGGACCCUGUGCUGCGUGCACAGCCAUGAAGGUUGUCCUUACCACCGGUCAGUGCAAAUCACUGCAAGACGAUCUCACUGGGUAUCAUCUUGUCCUUGUGCUGCUGCUGCAAAAGAAAGCAGUUGCAAUGGAGUCUGCUUCUCACUUGCUUAGUGCUAAUUUCUCUUUUUUUUUCCCCCUCUACUUCCUGUUCGUUGGUGGUAGAUUGCUGGGGGAGGGCAUCUGCACCAGUAGGAGAUUCAGAGUCUGUAACAGGAGGGAUGGUAUCUGAGUUCUUGUACUUUAGAAGGCUGCAGUAAUCCCCAGCUCAUUACAGCUGGGCUGGUGCAGUGGGAAAUUGGGACAGAUGUUGGACAGAUGGUGACCCUCCGCUGUUGGGAUCACUGCUGCUGGUUGGUAUAAAGCAGUGUUGUGUUUUUUUUUUUUUAAUAUUAGAGUAGGCUGUGAUGCUUCUUUACCAGGGUGGAGAGGCAUCACAUCUGCCAUUCUUUGUUAACAGUACUGUGAUUUGAUCACCCUGGCAGUCUGGUCAUCAGUCCCAUAAACCAAUACUAAUAGCAACACUGGUGCUGUGCCCCACAGAGGGCUUUGGGUUGGCCCUGGGGCCUGUGACCACUGACCGGGUUUUGCUGAUGGGUGACAAAGCCCCUGCCUGGCAGCAAGGGGCUGUAUGAGGAUGCUACUGUCCUGCUCAACUGCAGCGAAACAGGACUGGCUCAGAGAUGGGAGACUUUAUCUCAAGUGAGAAAGCAUCCUGGAGUGAUGAAGGACCGGUGGGUUUUGGGGAGUUCAUUGUUUUAAUGGCAGCGGUGUUACAGGAUUGCAUGUGCUCAGACUGCCCUGCAUUGAGCUGCUCUAUUGAUCAUCGCUUUGAUUCCUGCUGGUUUAUUUACUUGCUUGAUAAUAAUUUGCUUAAUAAAGCCUUGCUGUGGUGAUUACAGAGUCCCAAAACCUUUUGAUUUCCGAUUUCAUUCCCAGCUCCAAAGUCACUGGAGUUUCUGCGUUCCCUUGGAGGAACAGCCUGGGGUUCACUUUGCAUGAAUCGGGGUUAUAUGAGCUGACCUAUGGCUGAUUCAUUGACAGGUACAAGUAGAUGAAGCUGGUGAGAUGAUGCAAGCCCAAGUGCAAUAAAUUUGUAAGGUGAAAAGGGCCAUGUUUCAUCUUCACUGGCCCCUUUUCCCUGCAGGUGUUGUCAGCAAAGGCCUCUCUCUUUUUGUGCAGCUUUCCUUUGUGACAAAGCAUACCAUGCUGAAAUGAAAGUGAGAUCUUCAUCAAAGAGCACAGUGUGUCUUUGGGUGUGAUUUCUUUGUGGGAACAAACGCCUACUGAUUCAUGCAGACACAGUCCUGGGUGAGGAGGACAGCUUCCAUUGCAGCUAUGCAGCACCCAGCUCAACAGGAAUGGAGAAUAACGUCAACAAAAGGAACAGAACUGGACCUUGCCUGAUGCAGACACACUGGGACUUGUCAGAGUUAUCAAAGCUCCCAGAAACGUUGCUCUUAGUACUAGCAGUGUGUGUGCCACUCUUCCUGCAGCAAAGGGAAGCUCAAAGGAAGGCAGCAGGUUUGUCCCAGUGCAACACUGUGCAGCUCCGGUCCCGUGCUGAAACAAAAGUCCCAAUGGUGCAACUGGAAUGGACCUUCAUGCUGCACUUCAGCCCUUCUUCCCAUCCAAACCAAAGUCCUCUGCUUCUCCAAAGGAACAGCCGCCUCUGUAGCUUCUGUGACACCGCCUGGAGGCCGCAGGGAGCUCGGGGCCGUCUGCUGGACUCCUCCUGCUGUCCUGGUGCAGCAGCUCAGAGGACAGCAGUGCCAGUCGUUCCCAUUUCCUCAGAGCUCGGGGAAGAAGAGGAUGGUGUUGGCUUUCAGUGAGAACUGUCCUGCCUUUCUUUACCUCAAACUAGAAGUGGGGUAAAGUAAAUCCUUCAGGCAUACCUUCCAGGGGAGCAGCAGUCACUUCCUCCAGAGGCUGCAUUAAGCACAGCAACAGAUCAGAGCAGAUGUGGCUCAAUGAAACCAUCGUGCAGCUCAGGAUGAGUGAGGUGGCUACAGACAGCUUUGAAUAUGUGUGUGCUUGUGUGUCUGUGUACAAUAUAGCCGAAGAAGCCUCCACUGCUGUUUGUGCUGCAGAACAGAUGACUUGGAAAAGGCUCUCGAAGUUCUGGGACUUCACCCUGACAUGUCCUGGAUUUGAACAUCCCCAGGUCUGGAGGCUGCCUGCUGGCUGGUGUGGGCUUAUCUCUGCAGGAGGCAAGCUGAAGCGCUCCGUGCCAUUGCCAUGCUUUUUAAAUGAGGAGGAGAAGAGGAAAGCUGAAGCCUUUACUCUGCCUGUUGGAUGAAAAUUAUUUGUGGCUGAUGAACAGCUGAGUAGCAAUAUGCAAAUUCCCCUGGAUGUACAUAGAAUGGUCGUCUGUGGCACAGCAGCAUUAGUCUGGCUGUAGGAUGAUUCACAUGCCUGAAGAAUAAAAGAACCUGCUUUCUGGGCUGAAAUACAGAAUGGCUUCCACUGAAGGUGUGUAUAGAAUCAGAGGGCUAUUCCACACCUGUAAACUGGACAACCAUCAUGGUGCCUAUGGGAUCUGUUCAGGCCACAUCUAUUAGGAACCUGGCCUGUGCAGCCCAGAAGACAGCUAGAGAUGGAUGGUGCUGGCGUGCGGCCACUUCGGAAGACAGAGCUGGAUCAGCCUGCCGGGGACAGAGGCAGACAAAUGGAACCUGCAGGACAAGCAUGCCAUUACCUUGUUUGCCA
This 4016-nucleotide long non-coding RNA is filed under the name Gallus gallus (chicken). RNAcentral's name for it is "lncRNA (ENSGALG00010025244.1)". The record is from RNAcentral. Lineage: Eukaryota; Metazoa; Chordata; Aves; Galliformes; Phasianidae.